UGUCCCAUUGCACUCUGAUUUCCCCAAGGCUGUCCCAUUGCACUCUGAUGUCCCCAAGGCUGUCCCAUUGCACUCUGAUUUCCCCAAGGCUGUCCCAUUGCACUCUGAUUUCCCCAAGGCUGUCCCAUUGAACUCUGAUUUCCCUAAGGCUGUCCCAUUGCACUCUGAUUUCCCCAAGGCUGUCCCAUUGCACUCUGAUUUCCCUAAGGCUGUCCCAUUGAACUCUGAUUUCCCCAAGGCUGUCCCAUUGUCUUUUAUCUAUGAUCAGAUGUUUCCCUCCACCACGUCCACAUGUGUUUUUGACUGGUUCACCAUCAGGUUUGAACUCAACACCGCCCAUCCAGAUAAGAAAUGGUCUCUCUCUGUGUGUGUGUGUGAGUAUGUGUGUGCAUCCGUGUGAGUAUGCAUAGAGACAGCGCAAAACAUUUCAAUCCAAUAGAAGGGGCAAUGCAAAUAGUGCAUUUUGUUAGCUAUUUAGCAGUCUGUU
Molecule: long non-coding RNA, 487 nt
Organism: Oncorhynchus tshawytscha (Chinook salmon)
Lineage: Eukaryota; Metazoa; Chordata; Actinopteri; Salmoniformes; Salmonidae
Source: Ensembl